AGUGAACGCUGGCGGUAGGCCUAACACAUGCAAGUCGAACGGCAGCACAGAGGAGCUUGCUCCUUGGGUGGCGAGUGGCGGACGGGUGAGGAAUACAUCGGAAUCUACUCUGUCGUGGGGGAUAACGUAGGGAAACUUACGCUAAUACCGCAUACGACCUACGGGUGAAAGCAGGGGAUCUUCGGACCUUGCGCGAUUGAAUGAGCCGAUGUCGGAUUAGCUAGUUGGCGGGGUAAAGGCCCACCAAGGCGACGAUCCGUAGCUGGUCUGAGAGGAUGAUCAGCCACACUGGAACUGAGACACGGUCCAGACUCCUACGGGAGGCAGCAGUGGGGAAUAUUGGACAAUGGGCGCAAGCCUGAUCCAGCCAUACCGCGUGGGUGAAGAAGGCCUUCGGGUUGUAAAGCCCUUUUGUUGGGAAAGAAAGCCAUCUGGUUAAUACCCGGGUGGGAUGACGGUACCCAGAGAAUAAGCACCGGCUAACUUCGUGCCAGCCGCCGCGGUAA
RNAcentral lists this ribosomal RNA (506 nucleotides) under uncultured bacterium. RNAcentral describes it as "partial 16S ribosomal RNA". It matches the Rfam family "Bacterial small subunit ribosomal RNA", at positions 29 to 523 of the family's 1533-position model. The record is from RNAcentral.